This 660-nucleotide small RNA is filed under the name Pongo abelii (Sumatran orangutan). RNAcentral's name for it is "processed transcript". Lineage: Eukaryota; Metazoa; Chordata; Mammalia; Primates; Hominidae. The record is from RNAcentral.
GGCGCGCGGGUCCCACCGCGGAACUGCGGACCGUGUGGCCCUGGGGCCUGCACCCUCUCCGGCUCCGGGGACGGCGGCAGAGACCGCCCGCCCAGGCCUGGGGGCCCCAGUCCGUAGCGGCCGCCGUGUGUGCGCUCGGUGUCUGCGGGGCCAGCAGGUCUUCCUCAAGCCGGACGAGCCGCCGCCGCCGCAGCCAUGCGCCGACAGCCUGCAGCCAGCCUGGACCCCCUUGCAAAGGAGCCAGGACCCCCAGGGAGUAGAGACGACCGACUGGAGGACGCUUUGCUGAGUCUGGGCUCUGUCAUCGACAUUUCAGGCCUGCAACGUGCUGUCAAGGAGGCCCUGUCAGCUGUGCUCCCCCGAGUGGAAACUGUCUACACCUACCUGCUGGAUGGGGAGUCCCGGCUGGUGUGUGAGGACCCCCCACAUGAGCUGCCCCAGGAGGGGAAAGUCCGGCAGUUCCUACAAGCACAAUUAAGUGGAGGCAGCAUGAGGGAUGAAGAACCCAGGACAAUUAAUCAUCAAGGAGUGAUAUUUGGUGCAAACUCAGGGAGGCUAUCAUCUGCCGGAAGCGGCUGGGCUGCAAUGGGCUGGGCUUCUCAGACCUGCCAGGGAAGCCCUUGGCCAGGCUGGUGGCUCCACUGGCUCCUGAUACCCAAG